AACGAACGCUGGCGGCAGGCCUAACACAUGCAAGUCGAACGCCCUAGCAAUAGGGAGUGGCAAACGGGUGAGUAACACGUGGGAACCUUCCCUGUAGUACGGAAUAGCCCAGGGAAACUUGGAGUAAUACCGUAUAAGCCCGAGAGGGGAAAGAUUUAUCGCUACAGGAUGGGCCCGCGUCGGAUUAGCUAGUUGGUGAGGUAAUGGCUCACCAAGGCGACGAUCCGUAGCUGGUUUGAGAGAACGACCAGCCACACGGGGACUGAGACACGGCCCAGACUCCUACGGGGGGCAGCAGUGGGGAAUAUUGGACAAUGGACGAAAGCCUGAUCCAGCCAUGCCGCGUGAGUGAUGAAGGCCUUAGGGUUGUAAAGCUCUUUUGUCGGGGACGAUAAUGACGGUACCCGAAGAAUAAGCUCCGGCUAACUUCGUGCCAGCAGCCGCGGUAA
This 449-nucleotide ribosomal RNA is filed under the name uncultured bacterium. RNAcentral's name for it is "partial 16S ribosomal RNA". It matches the Rfam family "Bacterial small subunit ribosomal RNA", at positions 29 to 523 of the family's 1533-position model. The record is from RNAcentral.